RNAcentral lists this ribosomal RNA (465 nucleotides) under uncultured bacterium. RNAcentral describes it as "partial 16S ribosomal RNA". It matches the Rfam family "Bacterial small subunit ribosomal RNA", at positions 339 to 795 of the family's 1533-position model. The record is from RNAcentral.
CUACGGGAGGCACCAGUGGGGAAUAUUGCGCAAUGGGGGAAACCCUGACGCAGCGACGCCGCGUGAGCGAUGAAGGCCUUCGGGUCGUAAAGCUCUGUCAGGUGGGAAGAACCCUCCGUCGGUGAAUAAUCGAUGGAGCUGACGGUACCACCAGAGGAAGCACCGGCUAACUCCGUGCCAGCAGCCGCGGUAACACGGAGGGUGCAAGCGUUGUUCGGAAUCACUGGGCGUAAAGGGCGCGCAGGCGGUCCGGUCAGUCGGAAGUGAAAUCCGUCGGCUCAACCGACGAAUUGCUUCCGAUACUACCGGACUUGAGCACGGGAGAGGAGAGCGGAAUUCCCAGUGUAGAGGUGAAAUUCGUAGAUAUUGGGAAGAACACCGGUGGCGAAGGCGGCUCUCUGGACCGAUACUGACGCUGAGGCGCGAAAGCGUGGGGAGCGAACAGGAUUAGAUACCCGCGUAGUC